This 29-nucleotide non-coding RNA is filed under the name Mus musculus (house mouse). The record is from RNAcentral. Lineage: Eukaryota; Metazoa; Chordata; Mammalia; Rodentia; Muridae.
UCCGCUGCAUUGGUGACAGAAACACUGUU